CCCUUAGAUGUUCUGGGCCGCACGCGCGCUACACUGAUUCAUGCAACAAGUUUUGUCCUUGGCUGAUAGGCCUGGGUAAUCUUUGAACGUGAAUCGUGAUGUGGAUAGAUGAUUGCAAUUAUUCAUCUUCAACGAGGAAUUCCUAGUAAACGCAAGUCAUCAGCUUGCAUUGAUUACGUCCCUGCCCUUUGUACACACCGCCCGUCGCACCUACCGAUUGAAUGGUCCGGUGAAAUCUUCGGAUCUGAGAGAUGUCUGAUUAAUUUCGGACGCCUUUUGGAAAAGUUGUUUAAACCUUACCAUUUAGAGGAAGGUGAAGUCGUANCA
This 327-nucleotide ribosomal RNA is filed under the name uncultured eukaryote. RNAcentral describes it as "partial 18S ribosomal RNA". It matches the Rfam family "Eukaryotic small subunit ribosomal RNA", at positions 1470 to 1796 of the family's 1831-position model. The record is from RNAcentral.